AGCAUAGUUUAAUUGGUAGUUCCUGUUUUCUUUUUUGGUAAAAGAAAAGGGUAGGGGGAGAGAAUCUCGACGUGUCAGUGAUAUCUUAGAUUUAAUACAGUAUGAAAUGACCCCUGUUUUUUAGAUAAUGACGUUGCAGUUCAGAGAGCUUCAGUGGCCUUUCGACGUCCCAUGGUCUUCUAUGCAGCCUGGAGUCCUGGAACAAUUAGGAUUAUGUUAGGAUCACUGCACACCCUUGACUGGAGCCUGCUUGCCCUUUGCUCUUCGGAGACUCCUGGAGGGCCCUGUGCUGCUGAUAUGGGGUGACCCUUGCGCUUUACCUAUGCACUUUGUGUCGAACCAAGAAAGACAAGGCUCCUGGUAUGGUCUGCUAGGGAAGUCUGUCACCGGGCAAAAGAGACCUAUCUCUUCCAGGGAUCUACCACGUACUGUGGGAGCUGCUGGGAGCAUCAGCAGGAAGGACAUCAACGAAAGAGGAGGUUCUCCUGUCUGGCUUUCCCUUCCUGUCUCCCUGGCUCCAUCUCUGGCUUAUGGAAAACGCGCAGCUCUUCCAAAACUUAGAGAUGCGAUUCUGGUCUGACUUGCUCAUCUCGCCUUGCCUCUUCUAAGUGGGACAGGAGCUGGUUAACAUUGGUGACUUAGGCUGGCCCUUGACGCAGGCAGAGUGGGCACUAACCUCCUGGUUACUCCCUUGUGAGCACUCUGACAUGAGCUACCCCAUGGUAGACAGAUUCUCUGGCUUCCCUCCUUUCCUCCCUGAAGCCUCUGCCAAGGUCCUAAUUGGUCUCACCCCAGACCAUUUUGCACUUCAAGGUAGAUGCCCUAAAAUGUGAGUAUUGUACUGGGGUGUUGUAGGACGUAGCUGUGAAGACAUCUGUCUGUCUACUGGGUAAGCUCCCGCUUCUCCUUACAGCAUGGGCCUUUGCGCAGGGACCAAGCUCUUACAGCUUCUAGCUGGCUUAGGUGCCUCAGUUUCUCUGUGCGUGAAAUGAGGGCCUCUCCGGGUUCUACUCAUACUCACAGGGAUAAGUCCCCUGUCAAAUGGAGGCUUUGUUUUCCUGGGGCUCCUCUAGCUGGGGGAUGACAGAAGGACAAACAGAGGGAGAGAUGUGCUCUCAGCCCUGUCCUAGGAUAGCAGACCCCAGCAAGCUGUGUCUGGCUUAGGGUAAGGUGAGUGUGUGUGUGUGUGUGUGUGUGUGUGUGUGUGUGUGUGUGUACUGUACCAGGGUGAGUGGAGCUAGGGUAGGCUGAGUGUGUGUGUGUGGGUACUGAACCUAGGAGAGCGGAGCCAACCAAGCAGCUGUCAGGAAGAUCUCAUUAUAAGGGCUGAUGUGAGCAGAGCAACAUGGGUAUCUCUUCUCUCUCCACGGCUACACUUGUUCCUUGCUUGCUCACUUCCUGUUGUAGGUGAACUAAAGGGGCUUGAUGGUCGAGGAUGCAUCGCUCCUUAACAACCAGGCAUCCGAGACCAUCCAGCCGUUCUGAGCAGCUGGGCUGGAAAGCUGCUUCCCCACAAGCUUCAGGAACAGGCUUGGGAGACAGCCCCAGCAGACAGGCCCUUGUCCUUCCCCAGCCAGACCACCGGGUAGGAAGGACAGUCACCUUUAUCCCAGAGAACAGAGAACAGGAGGGUGUGU
Molecule: long non-coding RNA, 1637 nt
Organism: Peromyscus maniculatus bairdii (prairie deer mouse)
Lineage: Eukaryota; Metazoa; Chordata; Mammalia; Rodentia; Cricetidae
Source: RefSeq, a predicted model, not a curated record